RNAcentral lists this long non-coding RNA (1062 nucleotides) under Vitis vinifera (wine grape). RNAcentral's name for it is "long non-coding RNA (VVIN_LNC006092)". Lineage: Eukaryota; Viridiplantae; Streptophyta; Magnoliopsida; Vitales; Vitaceae. The record is from RNAcentral.
AGUCAUAGUCAUGGCCAACAAAACAAGCUCAACCCUUUUUUUUCUACCAACAGAACAAACUGAAAAGCUAUAUAGACAUGAACUAGUAUGAUGUCCAAAGUGGUCGAAACCACCUGGACUGUAAAGAGGACUGGUAAGAGACCAAAAUCAACAACACCACCACCAACGCAGCCACCCCCCAAGGCGAACUCCCGGCUCGAUGAAUGGAGUUGUGCCCCAGUUUCGGCAGCCGAAUCACGAACUUCCCAUGGACAGAAAUCGUCCGCGCUAAUAAGAAGAGGAUGACGGGCAACAAGAAGAGAAAUAGUCUGAGGCUGAUCACCGUCCUAUGCACCUGCACCUUGUAGUCCAAGUAAGACGAAAGAGAUAAAAGAAGAAAGACAAUGAUAAAGAUGCCAAGCAAAGGCAUAGGGGGUGGUGAUACGGAGGCUAGGGCUUGGUCUUUCCACCCUGGACCUCUUCUUUCCCCGAACAACCAACCCAUUUCUGUCUCUCAGUUUUUUCUGUGUCUCUCAACUCUGAGGAUGGAACGGAACUUUGAUUAUAUAGGAGAAGUGAUUGAGGGUUCUAGGCUUCUAGCGCUAAUUUGCUUUGGCAUAAAUGCUGAGGUAUGGAUUCUAUCUCCAACCGACCUUGCUUUUGGAUUGAUACCAAAAUCAAAAUAAUUCUGUUUUAAAAUUUUUUAAAUGUAUAUGCAGGCCAAGAAUAUAUUCUAGCUUUUUCCAUGCAAACUUUCUCGAUCCUUAGCGUUAACUGUUCACACGCUGCAUUUCGUGGUCUUUCAAAUCUGGCUCUUCAUUUUCUAGGCUCUUCCACACUGACAGCUGUCCUGAAUCCUGACACUCAUCGAGCUAACUAUCCCUUUUUUCCUCCACAAAAGUCGGGUUAAAUUUGUACGUGCCAUACGGAGGAAAUGACACGUGGCAAUUAGGAAGACUAGGUACUGUUUCUUUGAAUCAGGGUUUAUGGGGAACUCGGGUUGGCUUUCACCAAUUAAAGCUUGACACGUAUCAUGGGAAUAAUAUAUCUAAGAAUUAGCCACGUUAGUAAAUCAUGUAGUUA